AGAAGAAGCAGCCGAGAUGGCGAGCCAGAAGCAAUCCGAUGAAAAGUUGGCAUUUACAAGGUGGAAAUAUAAGCACUAUUUCCAAUUCAUCGAGGAAAAAGGCAAGAACGUGCAUGUAAAGUGUACACUAUGUCCGGGAGGGAAGACUUUGUCGACAUCCGUUGUUAGCAACUCAAAUUUAACGAAGCAUCUAGCAACAAAACACGCAUCGACAAAGCUAGUGUCCAAAAACACAGAUACCGCCACAGAUAGCUCGCCAUCCACAAGCCAGGAAGGAUACGGAGCAAAGUCAAAGCAGCCAAAGCUUGAUUUUUCUGCCCCACAGCAAACAGCUAUGACACAGGCUGAAGUCAACCGUAUGAUAGGCAGGUACGUGGUCAAAAAUAUGUUGCCGUUAUUGACGGUGGAGGAUGAUUCAUUCCGAGCCAUUAUAGCUAAAAUACCAAAGAAAGGAGGGGCCUGUACACCAUGCACAAAGACGUUUGCUAAAUACUUAGAUGCUGAUUACGUCAAAAUGAACACAGAACUUAAAAAGAGUUUUGAAGAGUUGGACUUUUUGUCUACAACUGCAGAUAUUUGGACUGCGCACAACCGCCUCGGCGUGACCGCACACUGGAUAGAUCCACGCAGCCUAGAGCGAAAGAAAGCAGCCUUGGCCUGCAGACGGUUCAAGGGCCGUCAUACGUAUGACCGCAUUGCUACUGAACUAGACAAUAUACACUCAUCCUUUGGUAUUCCUAAGAAAAUCACAGCUACUGUCACAGACAAUGGUUCGAACUUUGUGAAGGCCUUUAAAGUGUACCAGCCCGUUCAGGGUGAUGACUCUGGGGGGGAGGAUGAAGAUGAUGUGACUUUUGUCGACCUUCAUGAUGCCUUACAGUUACAAGACAUGAAUGUGGAUGAGGAUGUGGAAGAGGAUGUUGUGACUCUGCCACCACACCACAGAUGUGCAUCACACACAGCAAACCUUAUAUCAUGCUCUGAUGUGGACAAGUGGCUACUCUCAAGGCCAGACAUAAAAUCUGUGUACAGAAGUGCUACCUCAAAAUGUGCAGCUUUGUGGAAUAAGGCUAGCCGUUCCACAAUUGCUGCAGAGACCGUGGAUGAAGUCCUUGAAAGGAAGCUCCUUGUCCCAUGUACAACCAGAUGGAACUCCUUUCAUGAUGCCGUUGCUCGUGUCUGUGAAUUCCCGCUCGCCGAGCUGAACACCAUCUCCUACAAUUUUGGGUUGAAGGCCAUCACAGAUCGGGAGUACCAGUUCCUCAGAGAAUACUGCACAGUGUUGAAGCCACUAACAGUAGCCCUCGACAUUCUUCAGGGUGAAGACAACUGUUUCUAUGGCACACUCCUUCCAACACUGGAGACAUUGAUCUCCAAGACCCUGGACUUGAAGAGUGGCCUGCAAAUCCUUGGUGACCUUCCAGAGGCUGUUGUCAUGGCGAUCAAAACCAGAUUUGCAGAGGUGCUGGAAAGUGAGACUGCCGUCUUGGCUGCCGUGACACUGCCCAGGUUUAAACUACGUUGGCUGCGAACACAGGAAAGGAAGGACAAAGCCAAGGCAGGUUUGCUGGCAGAGUGCAGGAAAAGUGCCCAAGAUGAAGACCAGCUGACAGACUCUAACAACGUCUGCUGCAGCUUCGUUCUCGUCGUCAGAAGAUGAGGAAGACCAGUCAGCGCCAAUGAUGUCAACACCAUUGAAGAAUCCUCCCUCUGGCAGAGCACAGUUUUCACCAGGCCUCGAUACCAAUGGUGAAACCGACGAAAGCUAUCGGCCUGAAUCAACCCUCACCCCCACAUCGGCGUCGUCAUCAGAGGAUGAAGGUGUUAAGGAAUGGCGUGAAAAGAAGAUUAUUGUCAAUGAAUCCAGCGUAACUAUUCAAAUUUGCCAGAUGUGUGGGAAACCGAUUUCAUCUAAGACCAUCUUUGAUUCUGGCGCACAGAGGCACAGAGGUGAAAUGGAUGUGUCUUGGGGGCCAUUCUGGGACCUGGACAUCUUCACCUGACGUAAGAGGAAUGCCAGAGGUUAAUCUCCUUUCAGCUGCAGCUGUUCUGUUCAGGGGCGGCACAUACACGGAACUCUCAGACUGGUGCCAAACCAUGGGUCUCCAAAUGAUUGGAACAACUACGUUUUAUAACAUUCAGAAGGCGUACUUGCACCCUGCUAUUGAGAACGUGUAUUGGGAGAAAAGAACAGAACUCUUGGCAAGAGUUCAUUUGGAACAGGAAGAUGGGAAGAGGCCACAUUUGGCAGGUGAUGGCCGAUGUGACUCGCCAGGCUUCAAUGCAAAAUACUGCCACUACACCUUUAUGUUGGACGACACAAAGGAGAUACUCCACACAGAACUGGUGCAGUGUAGAGAGACCACCAGCUCUGGAACCAUGGAGCCACUGGGUUUUACGAGAGGAAUGACUGAGCUUCUGGACUUGGGCCUUGACGUGGAGGUGAUGGCCACGGACCGCUCCACAUCAAUACAAAAAAUAAUUCGGGAACAAUAUCCUAGUGUCCAGCACGAAUUUGACAUCUGGCACACAGGAAAAGGCUAUUGAUGAUGGGAGAGUCGGACCACAGCGCAAAGCCUUCUCCAACACAUCCCAAAGAUUCUCAGGACUAUGUGGUAGCCAUGUAUGAAAAGGAUGGCAUGCUCCCUGAACCACUCUUUCAUGAGCCAGAUGAAUCUUGGAGUCAUCGUCUUGAAGUAUUUCCAUGCCAUCAGGGAAGAAAGAAAUCCAUUGAUGGAAUUCAGUUCAUUCAGUAGCUAGCUAGCUAUCUAUCUAUCUAUCUAU
Molecule: RNA transcript, 2784 nt
Organism: Gadus chalcogrammus (walleye pollock)
Lineage: Eukaryota; Metazoa; Chordata; Actinopteri; Gadiformes; Gadidae
Exons: 6
Source: RefSeq, a predicted model, not a curated record